This 27-nucleotide small RNA is filed under the name Bombyx mori (domestic silkworm). RNAcentral describes it as "ovarian small RNA-28986". The record is from RNAcentral. Lineage: Eukaryota; Metazoa; Arthropoda; Insecta; Lepidoptera; Bombycidae.
UCGGCUGUCAGUCGGUGGAGGCGUGCU